AUGCAUAAGCUCGUAAAUGUUCAUUAUUUGGACAAGACAACAUUUAUGCUUGGAAAUGACGAUGAAGGGGAAGAGGCUAUGGUUUUUGACACAAGUCCAAGCUUUGAUGAUCUUGUAGUUAAAGUGAGAAGCGUGUUACAUUGGAAUGACCCAAAUGCCAAGGUUAAGCUUAUUGGAAGGUAUGAUGUUGGAUUGGGAGUAAAGUCCCGAUUAAAUAGUAUGCCCAUCACCUCCCAAUUGCAUUGGAAUGUAUACAAGGAAAAAGUAGACGCAUCAGAAGACAAGUCUCUUGAGAUCUUUCCCACAAAGGUUGAUCCUCCUCCUCCCUUGCAAAUUGACCUCAACCGUAAUGUAUCCUCCCCAAUAAAUGAUGAUAGUGCCGAGGUGUAUAUCCCCAAUUGUUCUAGCCAACCC
Molecule: ribosomal RNA, 414 nt
Filed under: Triticum aestivum (bread wheat)
Lineage: Eukaryota; Viridiplantae; Streptophyta; Magnoliopsida; Poales; Poaceae
Description: partial small subunit ribosomal RNA
Source: RNAcentral